Molecule: RNA transcript, 1795 nt
Organism: Micropterus dolomieu (smallmouth bass)
Lineage: Eukaryota; Metazoa; Chordata; Actinopteri; Centrarchiformes; Centrarchidae
Gene: iqck
Gene name: IQ motif containing K
Exons: 12
Source: RefSeq, a predicted model, not a curated record
ACCUUGUUUAUUUAUUUCCUAAACUAGACAACCUAGGAUGCGGCACACAUCGAGACAAGCAGGAGCAGUAGGCUAUUUAUGGAAAAUCAUUCAGCUCAGCAAACUGUUCUUUUGUUUGGGAUAAAUUACACUGUUGUCUGUUUUUAGCGCACAUUGUGCUACUAGUACCGUUAUCAGAAUGUGUUACAUCACGGUUAUAAGAAGUGUCCGUAUACCUUAAGUAUUGAAGCACUAGGCUAUCAAGUUCCCUAGAGCCGGACUCAGUUUGUACAUAUAUUUACGGUGAGCUGCCGUGUUGUGUUCGGGACACUUUUUAGAAAAUCUUUUUUUUGUACUCCUAACUUGUGUUUACACCGGAAGUCAGAGGCAUGACUACUUCCCUGGCACCCAGCGAGUCCCUGGCAACCAUUACACAAUAAUGGCGAACAUAAGCAGUGCCAAAAAAUCCCUUUGGCAACAAGUGUGUGAAGAGUAUGAGGCAGAGCAGCCAAGUCCUCCCAGUGCUGUGUGGACAGAUAUCAGCUCAGUUAGCACCCAGCUCUCCCAGUAUAGCACAAGUACACCUUCCCCGGUCUUAUAUGGACUCACCACAGCCAAGGAGUUUGUGGAGGAUGAACCUCUGAGAGACUUUGACCCUCUUCUUAGCCACCCUGCUCUUGCUGGCUACUCUGUGUUAGGAAAACCUUAUCUUUCAAGCCAGACGUGCCUGUCAACAGCUGAAACUACUUCGCCACCACAGCUGCGUGAACCACGCAUUACACGUUUUUUGGAGAGGAGAGUGUUUCCAGUGUUGCUGCCUGGACUGGAGGCUUUGCUAAAAGAAGCCCGGAAACACGGCUGUUUCGAGAGGAAAAUAACAGCAUUUAACCCGUGCGACUUCCUAACUGAGUGGCUCUACAACCGCAACCCCCGCAGGCAAGGACAGAUCCCAGUAAACUUCCAUGAUAUCCCCUUUGUCAAGGACUGGCUUAGCAUGCAAGUUUCAUGGUCACCAGGUUCCUGUCAACUCUCCAGCGUCUCACAAAACACUCCCAGGCCUCCCAUCCCUCUGUUUCUGCUGCUGAGCGAGGAUCAGGCUGCUCUGCUCAUCCAGGCUUUCUGGAGGGGAUACAAGAUCAGGGCACGGCCAGAUGUGCAGGAGCUGCGCCAAUGGCAGAAAGAACUGAGAGAGAACCGUGACAUUGCCAAAACUGUCGAGCAGUUCUGGGUUCUACGAGAGAGCCGGGUUGGCUCUGCCAUGACAGAUCUUCCAGAGAGCCCAGAGCCCGGCAACUCACACGUGUCCAUCCAUGUAAUUUCACCCAGCCCCCAGAGCACCUUGGUCUACACCCCCACCGCCCAGCUGACCCAUGAGGGAGUGUCUCUGUAGAGCAGCAAGGUGGCGGUCCUGUGAUGGACAGCUUUCCUGACCGUCCCAGCCCCUGAUGCACACCGCCUCAGAGUGAGGCAUGUGGAGGGUCAUGUAUCUCCCUUUGCAGCUUGAUUGGAGUCCACCUGUGGUGAAUUCAGUUGACUGGACAUGAUGUGGAAAGGCACACACCUGUCCAUAUAAGGUCCCACAGUUAACAGUGCAAGUCAGAGCACAAACCAAGCCAUAAAGUCCAUUGUCUGUAGACCUUUGAGACAGGAUUGUAUCGAGGCACAGAUCUGGAGAAGGGUACAGAAAAAUUUCUGCAGCAUUGAAGGUCCCAAUGAGCACAGUGGCCUCCAUUGUCUAUAAAUGGAAGAAGUUUGGAACCACCAGGACUCUUGCUAGAGCUGGCCGCCUGGCCAAACUGAGCAAUCGGGGGGGAGA